This 460-nucleotide ribosomal RNA is filed under the name uncultured soil bacterium. RNAcentral describes it as "bacterial SSU rRNA". It matches the Rfam family "Bacterial small subunit ribosomal RNA", at positions 26 to 518 of the family's 1533-position model. The record is from RNAcentral.
AGAUUGAACGCUGGCGGCAUGCCUAACACAUGCAAGUCGAACGGGAGUAGCAAUACUCUAGUGGCGGACGGGUGAGGAAUACGUAGGAAUUUGCCCUUAAGUGGGGGAUAACCCGGGGAAACCCGGAUUAAUACCGCAUGACCUCGAAAGAGCAAAGUGGGGGAUCGCAAGACCUCACGCUUUUGGAGAAGCCUACGUCGGAUUAGCUAGUUGGUGAGGUAAUGGCUCACCAAGGCGACGAUCCGUAACUGGUCUGAGAGGAUGAUCAGUCACACCGGAACUGAGACACGGUCCGGACUCCUACGGGAGGCAGCAGUGGGGAAUAUUGGACAAUGGGCGCAAGCCCGAUCCAGCAAUGCCGCGUGUGUGAAGAAGGCCUUCGGGUUGUAAAGCUCUUUUACCCGAGAUGAUAAUGACAGUAUCGGAGAAUAAGCCCGGCUAACUCCGUGCCAGCAGCCGC